RNAcentral lists this ribosomal RNA (803 nucleotides) under uncultured bacterium. Its description in RNAcentral is "bacterial SSU rRNA". It matches the Rfam family "Bacterial small subunit ribosomal RNA", at positions 8 to 809 of the family's 1533-position model. The record is from RNAcentral.
AGAGUUCGAUCCUGGCUCAGGAUGAACUUUGGCGGCGUGCUUAACACAUGCAAGUCGAACGAAGCACUUUAUUUGAUUUCCUUCGGGACUGAUUAUUUUGUGACUGAGUGGCGGACGGGUGAGUAACGCGUGGGUAACCUGCCUUGUACAGGGGGAUAACAAUUGGAAACGGCUGCUAAUACCGCAUAAGCGCACGGCAUCGCAUGAUGCAGUGUGAAAAACUCCGGUGGUAUAAGAUGGACCCGCGUUGGAUUAGCUAGUUGGUGAGGUAACGGCCCACCAAGGCGACGAUCCAUAGCCGACCUGAGAGGGUGACCGGCCACAUUGGGACUGAGACACGGCCCAAACUCCUACGGGAGGCAGCAGUGGGGAAUAUUGCACAAUGGGCGAAAGCCUGAUGCAGCGACGCCGCGUGAGCGAAGAAGUAUUUCGGUAUGUAAAGCUCUAUCAGCAGGGAAGAUAAUGACGGUACCUGACUAAGAAGCACCGGCUAAAUACGUGCCAGCAGCCGCGGUAAAACGUAGGUCACAAGCGUUGUCCGGAAUUACUGGGUGUAAAGGGAGCGCAGGCGGGAAGACAAGUUGGAAGUGAAAUCUAUGGGCUCAACCCAUAAACUGCUUUCAAAACUGUUUUUCUUGAGUAGUGCAGAGGUAGGCGGAAUUCCCGGUGUAGCGGUGGAAUGCGUAGAUAUCGGGAGGAACACCAGUGGCGAAGGCGGCCUACUGGGCACCAACUGACGCUGAGGCUCGAAAGUGUGGGUAGCAAACAGAAUUAGAUACCCUGGUAGUCCACACCGUAAACGA